This 446-nucleotide ribosomal RNA is filed under the name uncultured Alphaproteobacteria bacterium. RNAcentral describes it as "bacterial SSU rRNA". It matches the Rfam family "Bacterial small subunit ribosomal RNA", at positions 37 to 524 of the family's 1533-position model. Lineage: Bacteria; Pseudomonadati; Pseudomonadota; Alphaproteobacteria. The record is from RNAcentral.
UGGCGGUAUGCUUAACACAUGCAAGUCGAACGGCUUAGGGGCAACUCUAAGCUAGUGGCAAACGGGUGAGUAAUGCAGAGGAAUCUACCUACAGUAAGGAAUAAUUUUGGGAAACCAAAACUAAUACCAUAUAUUACCGACCUAGUCGGGAAGAUACGUCGCUGUUAGAUGAGCCUCUGUCAGAUUAGCUUGUUGGUGAGGUAAAGGCCACCAAGGCAACGAUCUGUAGCUGGUCUGAGAGGAUGAUCAGCCACACUGGAACUGAGACCGGUCCAGACUCCUACGGGAGGCAGCAGUGGGGAAUAUUGGACAAUGGGCGCAAGCCUGUCCAGCAAUACCGCGUGAGUGAUGAAGGUCUUCGGAUUGUAAAGCUCUUUUAGUGGAGAGAUAAUGACGGUAUCCACAGAAAAAGCACCGGCAAACUUCGUGCUAGCAGCCGCGGUAAU